Triticum aestivum (bread wheat) is the source of this 135-nucleotide non-coding RNA. NCBI's taxonomy places the organism in Eukaryota, Viridiplantae, Streptophyta, Magnoliopsida, Poales, Poaceae. The record is from Rfam.
AAAGUACUCCCUCCGUCCCAAAAUUCCCUUCUUAGAUUUGUCUAGAUACGGAUGUAUCAAGUCACAUUUUAGUAUUAGAUACAUCCGUAUCUAGACAAAUAUAAGACAAGAAAUUUGGGACAGAGGGAGUAGUUG